Molecule: long non-coding RNA, 3405 nt
Filed under: Equus asinus (donkey)
Lineage: Eukaryota; Metazoa; Chordata; Mammalia; Perissodactyla; Equidae
Description: lncRNA (ENSEASG00005033417.1)
Source: RNAcentral
CUGCACUCAUCUGUGUGUGUGUAUUCAGUUCUAAACAAUGUCAUCACACGUACACAUGUGUAUCCACCAUCACAAUCUAGAUCUGAACAGUUGUUACCAUAAAGAUCCCUCAUGUCACCUUUUAGAAGCACCUACCAUCCUGUGACCCCCCCCAUCCCGAACCCCUGAUGGCCACCACCCUCUCCCCACUUGUACAGUUUUGCCAAUAAGCAAAUGUGAGAGAGAUGGAAUCACCCUGUGUGUGACCCCCGGCAUUGGCUUUUUCCACUCAGGGCAGUUUCCCUGGACGCAUCCACAUUGGCAUGUGUAUCAAUGGUCUGUCCCCUUUAUUGCUGAGCAGUAUUCCGCGGUCUGGACGUACCAGGGUUCGUUUUAACCGUUCACCUGCUAAAGGCUGUCCAGGCCGUUUCCAGUUUGGGGCUCUUGUGAACACAGCUGCUGUGAACAAGUGUGUGCAGGUGUCUGUGCAGACAGAAGUUUGAUUCCUCUGGAUCAACACGCGAGGGCGCAGCGGCUAGGUCGUAUGACAGUUGGAUCAACACGCGAGGGCGCAGCGGCUAGGUCGUAUGACAGUUGGAUCAACACGCGAGGGCGCAGCGGCUAGGUCGUAUGACAGUUGGAUCAACACGCGAGGGCGCAGCGGCUAGGUCGUAUGACAGUUGGAUCAACACGCGAGGGCGCAGCGGCUAGGUCGUAUGACAGUUGGAUCAACACGCGAGGGCGCAGCGGCUAGGUCGUAUGACAGUUGGAUCAACACGCGAGGGCGCAGCGGCUAGGUCGUAUGACAGUUGGGUCAACACGCGAGGGCGCAGCGGCUAGGUCGUAUGACAGUUGGAUCAACACGCGAGGGCGCAGCGGCUAGGUCGUAUGACAGUUGGUCAUUUCGUUUUAAGAAACUGCCCAUCGGUUUUCCAGAGUGGCUGUACCACUUGACAUUCCCACCAGCAACGUCUAAGACCAGCUUCUCCACAUCUUGUCACUGGCAACUUGUGUUCAUUCAUCCAACAGGUAUUUAUGAAUGCCCAGCCUGUGUGCCAAGCACUGUUCUAGACGCUGGGUUUACAGCAACAAAAGACUCAUAAUUCGCAUUACCAAAUAGGAGCUUUCAUACUGAAGGGCGUACACAGCAACACACAAGUCAACAAACUGAUCAUGAGUGAUGGAUGCACACGGCUCCUCAAAGGUACAUGAGUGGUGACGUGCGGUGGUGCCACGUCUCUGAGCUGGGAAUCUCCUUCCUGUUGACUGGAGGAAGCCGUGAUGUCCCACAGUCUGGGGUCCUGAUACACGGGAGAGGCCGGCACAGAGCGGAAGAUGCCGAGGGGCUGCGGAAAGGGCAGCAAAGCCACUGCAAGUGAAGCCCAGAAGGAGACAAGUGAUGAGCCAAACGGGUCAUGAGACCAGCCCACCGACAGCCACGUCCAUUCUGAGGGGAGUACCAUCCUUAUCCUGGACCCAGGGCAAGGGAUGCAGAGUCUGAGAGACAACUCCGGGGCCACCAGAUCACAGACCACAGGCUGUCUUCUGGAAGGCUGCAGUGAUCCACACGUCCUCCAGCAACUUGGGAGAGCUCUUGGCUGAGCUCAUUAACGUCCUACAUUUUCCUCCUUCCAGGCUGCCCCUCCCCCACCAGUCUUCUUUCUCUGACAUGGUAUGAGCCGAGCCGAGCCACAUCAGUCUCACCUGCUCGCGGCCCGUGAGCCCUCCCAGUCUACAGCCCUUGGGCAGGCACAGGGCAAACUCCAGAGAUGCUCACUUUCCCGGCUCGGCCUGGCCAGUACCUCCCAGAAGCCCAAGAGAGAAACCCAAGCCAGGGUGGGAGCGACGUCUUCCAGGACCUGAGGGCGCAGAUGGCAGAGACAGUGGCAGGGCUGGCUCCUCACAUGCUCGCAGGGCACGCUGUUCUAAACUCACGCUGGCUGAGCUGCCCUCACAAGCCAGCAGCCCAGGGGCCCCCACACGCCCACAGCCUCUUAGCAAGGGCGAGGGAAGCCUGAAGCAGCUGCUGCCCCAGGACCUGCCCUCUCAGGAGCAAGGCCAGAGACGGCAGACAGGAGGGAACGGGCAACAAAGAACACGGGAGAGUCAAGUUCGUACAAACAAGAGGCCUUCUCGUUCACAUGCUCCGGGCCGGUCAUGCUCUAGGCUGGACCAGAACCAAAAGGCUUGCCAGCCACUGCUCCUAAGCUCCACUGUGACUCACGCGACAGGAAAACAAAGCUGACCCAGCGCAGACAGCCGGGCCCCAAGUACGGCUGCAACUCCAAAGAAACGCACCUGCCAGAGAUGAACCUGCAGAACGGACGGCACCGGGCGCGGCCAGAGGAGAAAACAGCUCAGGGGAAGGUGGGAGAGGGGACGGCGUGAAAAAAACUCUUAAAAUCGUCCGCCAGUCCACACGAUCCAGGUCCCGUGCUGCCCUCCGCAACCCACACCCUGGCCUGAGCGGAGCUCGGUGCCCAAGGCCCCAGCCUUGUUGCUGUGGCUCCCGCUUCCUGGAACACUCUUGCCCUUGACCCCUUACUGAGCCUUAAAGCUCAGUUAGCAAGGGCGCGUGCACGUAGGGGCUGGCUGGAGCGGCCUCUGAGUGCCCAUUAGCAGGGAUGGGCUGAAAAGUGUGACUCACACACACAAUGGGAUCCUUUAUGUCUCUUUGUCACUCACCCUCCACGGCAAGUCCGUUAGCGAGUUCUGUUGCCACAACCUCCAAAAUGAUCCUGAAUUCACUUCCUUCCCCAUCCUUCCUAGGCCAAGCGACCACCAUCAUUUUUCACCUGGACAGCUCCAUCAGAUCCUCUGCUGGUCUCCCCAAAUCCACUCUUGCCUUCCUAGAUUCGAUGCUCCACACACAGCCAGAGAGAUCAAAUCAAACAGGGAUCACACCAGAUUGCUUUCCUGCUUAAAAUCUCUCAACAGCUCUCGAACCUCAUCUCCUUCCACUUUACCCAUCACCCAAAUGCUCCUACUGCACUGGCUUUCUUUCCCUUCCAAGCUCAUUCCUGCCCCAGGGCCUUUGCACAUUUUACCUUUGCUCUUCUCAAGGCUGGUUUCUUCCUGCCAGUCAGGUCUCCCCAUGACUGUACACAGUGGUGAGUAGGCAUGAGACCUAACUACGCACAGUGACAGGGACGUCUCACAGACAUAAUGCUGAACAGAAAGGCCAGGCACAAAGGAGCAUUUACAUAAAGUUCAAAGUGAAAUGUCAAGAGAGUGGUUUUGCUCGGAAGGGAGGAAUGACUGGAAGGGGCAGAAAGGGGACUUUAGGGGCUGGAAAUACUGUUUUUCCGAGCUGGCUACAUGGGUGUGUUCAGGGUGUGAAUGUGCAUCUAACUACACAUCUUUGACAUGUGUGCUUGCCUUUUUCUGCAUUACAUGAUAGUUUAAUUAAAACAUUUUGGCUGCCCA